RNAcentral lists this ribosomal RNA (460 nucleotides) under uncultured bacterium. RNAcentral's name for it is "partial 16S ribosomal RNA". It matches the Rfam family "Bacterial small subunit ribosomal RNA", at positions 338 to 795 of the family's 1533-position model. The record is from RNAcentral.
CCUACGGGUGGCAGCAGUGAGGAAUAUUGGUCAAUGGGCGGGAGCCUGAACCAGCCAAGUCGCGUGAGGGAAGACGGUCCUAUGGAUUGUAAACCUCUUUAGGCGGGGAGCAAUGCCGGGCACGCGUGCCCGGAGGGAGAGUACCCGCAGAAUAAGCAUCGGCUAACUCCGUGCCAGCAGCCGCGGUAAUACGGAGGAUGCAAGCGUUAUCCGGAUUUAUUGGGUUUAAAGGGGGCGUAGGCGGAUUUUUAAGUCAGCGGGAAAAUGUCGGGGCUCAACCCGGGCCGGCCGUUGAAACUGGGGAUCUUGAGUGGGCGAGAAGUAUGCGGAAUGCGUGGUGUAGCGGUGAAAUGCAUAGAUAUCACGCAGAACUCCGAUUGCGAAGGCAGCAUACCGGCGCCCGACUGACGCUGAGGCACGAAAGCGUGGGUAUCGAACAGGAUUAGAUACCCGGGUAGUC